RNAcentral lists this ribosomal RNA (485 nucleotides) under uncultured bacterium. RNAcentral's name for it is "partial 16S ribosomal RNA". It matches the Rfam family "Bacterial small subunit ribosomal RNA", at positions 28 to 507 of the family's 1533-position model. The record is from RNAcentral.
GAUGAACGCUAGCUACAGGCUUAACACAUGCAAGUCGAGGGGCAGCAUGACCUAGCAAUAGGUUGAUGGCGACCGGCGCACGGGUGAGUAACACGUAUCCAACCUGCCGAUUAUUCCGGGAUAGCCUUUCGAAAGAAAGAUUAAUACUGGAUAGCAUAACGAGAAGGCAUCUUCUUGUUAUUAAAGAAUUUCGAUAAUCGAUGGGGAUGCGUUCCAUUAGUUUGUUGGCGGGGUAACGGCCCACCAAGACAUCGAUGGAUAGGGGUUCUGAGAGGAAGGUCCCCCACAUUGGAACUGAGACACGGUCCAAACUCCUGCGGGAGGCAGCAGUGAGGAAUAGUGGUCAAUGGACGAGAGUCUGAACCAGCCAAGUAGCGUGAAGGAUGACUGCCAUAUGGGGUGUAAACUUCUUUGAAAUGGGAAUAAAGUGGGCCACGUGUGGCUUUUUGUAUGUACCAUACGAAUAAGGAUCGGCUAACUCCGUG